UGGGGAAUCUUGGACAAUGGGCGCAAGCCUGAUCCAGCCAUGCCGCGUGAGUGAUGAAGGCCUUAGGGUUGUAAAACUCUUUCGUCGGGGACGCGGUACCCGAAGAAGAAGCCCCGGCUAACUUCGUGCCAGCAGCCGCGGUAAUACGAAGGGGGCUAGCGUUGUUCGGAUUUACUGGGCGUAAAGCGCGUGUAGGCGGGCUGGUAAGUUGGGGGUGAAAUCCCGAGGCUCAACCUCGGAACUGCCUCCAAAACUGUCAGCCUGGACUCAAGUAGAGGCAAGUGGAAUUGCGAGUGUAGAGGUGAAAUUCGUAGAUAUUCGCAGGAACACCAGUGGCGAAGGCGACUUGCUGGACUUGUAGUGACGCUGAGACGCGAAAGCGUGGGGAGCAAACAGGAUUAGAUACCCCGGUAGU
This 415-nucleotide ribosomal RNA is filed under the name uncultured bacterium. RNAcentral's name for it is "bacterial SSU rRNA". It matches the Rfam family "Bacterial small subunit ribosomal RNA", at positions 355 to 794 of the family's 1533-position model. The record is from RNAcentral.